RNAcentral lists this ribosomal RNA (948 nucleotides) under uncultured bacterium. Its description in RNAcentral is "bacterial SSU rRNA". It matches the Rfam family "Bacterial small subunit ribosomal RNA", at positions 8 to 933 of the family's 1533-position model. The record is from RNAcentral.
AGAGUUUGAUCAUGGCUCAGAACGAACGCUGGCGGCGUGGAUAAGACAUGCAAGUCGGACGAGAUUUUUCGCUGUAGCAAUACAGUGGAACGUCUAGUGGCGAACGGGUGCGUAACACGUGGGCAAUCUGCCUUAAAGUGGGGGAUAGCUCGGCGAAAGCCGGAUUAAUACCGCAUGUGAUCAAGGAAGACAUCUUUCUGAAAUCAAAGCCGGGGCAACCUGGCGCUUUUUGUGGAGCCCGCGGCCUAUCAGCUUGUUGGUGAGGUAACGGCUCACCAAGGCUUUGACGGGUAGCUGGUCUGAGAGGACGACCAGCCACACUGGGACUGAGACACGGCCCAGACACCUACGGGUGGCAGCAGUCGAGAAUUUUUCUCAAUGGGGGAAACCCUGAAGGAGCGACGCCGCGUGGAGGAUGAAGGUCUUCGGAUUGUAAACUCCUGUCAUUUGAGAACAAGGUGCAUACGUUUACUGCGUGUGCAUUGAUAGUAUCAGAAGAGGAAGAGACGGCUAACUCUGUGCCAGCAGCCGCGGUAAUACAGAGGUCUCAAGCGUUGUUCGGAUUCAUUGGGCGUAAAGGGUGUGUAGGUGGCGCGCUAAGUCGGGUGUGAAAUUUCGGAGCUUAACUCCGAAACUGCAUUCGAUACUGGCGUGCUUGAGGACUGGAGAGGAGACUGGAAUUUACGGUGUAGCAGUGAAAUGCGUAGAUAUCGUAAGGAAGACCAGUGGCGAAAGCGGGUCUCUGGACAGUUCCUGACACUGAGACACGAAAGCCAGGGGAGCAAACGGGAUUAGAUACCCCGGUAGUCCUGGCAGUAAACGGUGCACGUUUGGUGUGGGAGGAUUCGACCCCUUCUGCGCCGGAGUUAACACGUUAAACGUGCCGCCUGGGGAGUACGGUCGCAAGAUUAAAACUCAAAGAAAUUGACGGGGGCCCGCACAAGCGUG